UGUCUACAACAGGGCCUGAAACUUCUUGG
This 29-nucleotide non-coding RNA is filed under the name Mus musculus (house mouse). Lineage: Eukaryota; Metazoa; Chordata; Mammalia; Rodentia; Muridae. The record is from RNAcentral.